RNAcentral lists this ribosomal RNA (1426 nucleotides) under Klebsiella aerogenes. RNAcentral describes it as "bacterial SSU rRNA". It matches the Rfam family "Bacterial small subunit ribosomal RNA". Lineage: Bacteria; Pseudomonadati; Pseudomonadota; Gammaproteobacteria; Enterobacterales; Enterobacteriaceae. The record is from RNAcentral.
GCGGCUACACAUGCAGUCGAGCGGUAGCACAGAGAGCUUGCUCUCGGGUGACGAGCGGCGGACGGGUGAGUAAUGUCUGGGAAACUGCCUGAUGGAGGGGGAUAACUACUGGAAACGGUAGCUAAUACCGCAUAACGUCGCAAGACCAAAGUGGGGGACCUUCGGGCCUCAUGCCAUCAGAUGUGCCCAGAUGGGAUUAGCUAGUAGGUGGGGUAAUGGCUCACCUAGGCGACGAUCCCUAGCUGGUCUGAGAGGAUGACCAGCCACACUGGAACUGAGACACGGUCCAGACUCCUACGGGAGGCAGCAGUGGGGAAUAUUGCACAAUGGGCGCAAGCCUGAUGCAGCCAUGCCGCGUGUAUGAAGAAGGCCUUCGGGUUGUAAAGUACUUUCAGCGAGGAGGAAGGCGUUAAGGUUAAUAACCUUGGCGAUUGACGUUACUCGCAGAAGAAGCACCGGCUAACUCCGUGCCAGCAGCCGCGGUAAUACGGAGGGUGCAAGCGUUAAUCGGAAUUACUGGGCGUAAAGCGCACGCAGGCGGUCUGUCAAGUCGGAUGUGAAAUCCCCGGGCUCAACCUGGGAACUGCAUUCGAAACUGGCAGGCUAGAGUCUUGUAGAGGGGGGUAGAAUUCCAGGUGUAGCGGUGAAAUGCGUAGAGAUCUGGAGGAAUACCGGUGGCGAAGGCGGCCCCCUGGACAAAGACUGACGCUCAGGUGCGAAAGCGUGGGGAGCAAACAGGAUUAGAUACCCUGGUAGUCCACGCCGUAAACGAUGUCGACUUGGAGGUUGUGCCCUUGAGGCGUGGCUUCCGGAGCUAACGCGUUAAGUCGACCGCCUGGGGAGUACGGCCGCAAGGUUAAAACUCAAAUGAAUUGACGGGGGCCCGCACAAGCGGUGGAGCAUGUGGUUUAAUUCGAUGCAACGCGAAGAACCUUACCUACUCUUGACAUCCAGAGAACUUAGCAGAGAUGCUUUGGUGCCUUCGGGAACUCUGAGACAGGUGCUGCAUGGCUGUCGUCAGCUCGUGUUGUGAAAUGUUGGGUUAAGUCCCGCAACGAGCGCAACCCUUAUCCUUUGUUGCCAGCGGUCCGGCCGGGAACUCAAAGGAGACUGCCAGUGAUAAACUGGAGGAAGGUGGGGAUGACGUCAAGUCAUCAUGGCCCUUACGAGUAGGGCUACACACGUGCUACAAUGGCAUAUACAAAGAGAAGCGACCUCGCGAGAGCAAGCGGACCUCAUAAAGUAUGUCGUAGUCCGGAUUGGAGUCUGCAACUCGACUCCAUGAAGUCGGAAUCGCUAGUAAUCGUAGAUCAGAAUGCUACGGUGAAUACGUUCCCGGGCCUUGUACACACCGCCCGUCACACCAUGGGAGUGGGUUGCAAAAGAAGUAGGUAGCUUAACCUUCGGGAGGGCGCUACCACUUGAU